This 401-nucleotide ribosomal RNA is filed under the name bacterium. Its description in RNAcentral is "partial 16S ribosomal RNA". It matches the Rfam family "Bacterial small subunit ribosomal RNA", at positions 355 to 776 of the family's 1533-position model. The record is from RNAcentral.
UGGGGAAUUUUGCACAAUGGGGGAAACCCUGAUGCAGCGACGCCGCGUGAUUUAGAAGGCCUUCGGGUUGUAAAAAUCUUUUUUACGGGAUGAAAAUGACAGUACCGUAAGAAUAAGGUCCGGCUAAAUACGUGCCAGCAGCCGCGGUAAUACGUAUGGACCGAGCGUUGUCCGGAAUCAUUGGGCGUAAAGGGUACGUAGGCGGCCUAGUAAGUUAGAAGUGAAAUAAUAUAGCUCACUAUAUAAAGCUUUUAAAACUGCUAGGCUUGAGAGAUGGAAGGGAAAGUGGAAUUCCUAGUGUAGCGGUGAAAUGCGCAGAUAUUAGGAAGAAUACCGGUGGCGAAGGCGACUUUCUGGUCAUCAUCUGACGCUGAGGUACGAAAGCGUGGGUAGCAAACAGG